GCCCGGUUAGCUCAAUCGGUAGAGCGUGAGACUCUUAAAUGAGUCCACUAUCUCAAGGUUGCGGGUUCGACCCCCGCAUCGGGCU
Molecule: transfer RNA, 85 nt
Filed under: Fusarium fujikuroi
Lineage: Eukaryota; Fungi; Ascomycota; Sordariomycetes; Hypocreales; Nectriaceae
Description: transfer RNA-Lys(CTT)
Rfam family: tRNA
About the family: Transfer RNA (tRNA) molecules are approximately 80 nucleotides in length.
Source: RNAcentral